GACGAACUGUCCUAACGUUGUUCGGAAUCACUGGGCUUAAAGGGCGCGUAGGCGGUCGAAUAAGUCAGGGGUGAAAUCCUACAGCUUAACUGUAGAAGUGCCUUUGAUACUGUUCGUCUGGAGGGAGGUAGGGGUGUGCGGAACUUCCAGUGGAGCGGUGAAAUGCGUUGAUAUUGGAAGGAACGCCGGAGGCGAAAGCGGCGCACUGGACCUCUUCUGACGCUGAGGCGCGAAAGCUAGGGGAGCAAACGGG
Molecule: ribosomal RNA, 253 nt
Filed under: uncultured bacterium
Lineage: Bacteria
Description: partial 16S ribosomal RNA
Rfam family: Bacterial small subunit ribosomal RNA
Source: RNAcentral